UGGAGCCCUUGGCAGGAUCAGUUCCUGAAAGAUGUGAAUCCUCAGUUUCCAGCUCCAGCCGCUAUACCUGCAUGCUGUCACACUUCCUCGAGGGGCCAGUGAUGGACUCUUACACCUCUGGCACUGCAGGCAUCCAGGUGUACAGAAACCCAAGUACACGAGGAACCACAUUAGAACCCAGGGGGCUUUAAUUUUGUGCUUGAAUUAGAUUUCGUUA
This 217-nucleotide long non-coding RNA is filed under the name Mus musculus (house mouse). Its description in RNAcentral is "predicted gene, 36231". The record is from RNAcentral. Lineage: Eukaryota; Metazoa; Chordata; Mammalia; Rodentia; Muridae.